Molecule: non-coding RNA, 20 nt
Filed under: Rattus norvegicus (Norway rat)
Lineage: Eukaryota; Metazoa; Chordata; Mammalia; Rodentia; Muridae
Source: RNAcentral
UAGCUUGUAUGACCCAAAUC